RNAcentral lists this long non-coding RNA (351 nucleotides) under Homo sapiens (human). RNAcentral describes it as "long non-coding RNA NONHSAT197619". Lineage: Eukaryota; Metazoa; Chordata; Mammalia; Primates; Hominidae. The record is from RNAcentral.
CAGUUUGGGGAAAAUAAACAUCUGACAUCACCUUUAUUUCAAGAGUGUGUGUACGUGGUGACAAUGAAGAUAUAAGAAUUGGAAAAGAAAUUUGAGAAGUUGAGAGUAAUAUAAAAGAUUGUUACUUAAAACAAUAAAUACAAAUAAAAGCUGCAUUGAAUAUUUAUAUCUUAAUCUCUUACUAACUAAAUGAAGUUAACAUAUUAAGUUUAAAUAUUCCUAAGCAGCAUCAAUGCCUAAGGAAAGAUUUAUGGUAAUGAAGUGUUGACAGUUUUUUGAAAUUGCUUAUGUAUAUGUUAGCUGACAUUAACAUAAGUAAAUUGCUUCUGUCUGGAAUUCACCUUGAAGCCA